Molecule: unclassified non-coding RNA, 253 nt
Filed under: uncultured Anaerolineae bacterium
Lineage: Bacteria; Bacillati; Chloroflexota; Anaerolineae
Description: contains 16S-23S intergenic spacer region
Rfam family: Bacterial small subunit ribosomal RNA
Source: RNAcentral
UACGUAGGGGGCAAGCGUUAUCCGGAAUUACUGGGCGUAAAGCGCGCGCAGGCGGGUUAGUAAGUCUUUCGUGAAAGCUCCCGGCUAAACUGGGAGAGGUCGGAGGAUACUGUUAGCCUAGAGUAUGGCAGAGGAGUGUGGAAUUCCGCGUGUAGUGGUGAAAUGCGUAGAGAUGCGGAGGAACACCAGUGGCGAAGGCGGCACUCUGGGCCAAAACUGACGCUGAGGCGCGAAAGCAUGGGUAGCGAACGGG